UACGGAGGAUGCGAGCGUUAUCCGGAUUUAUUGGGUUUAAAGGGAGCGUAGACGGCGAUGCAAGUCUGAAGUGAAAGGCGGGGGCCCAACCCCCGGACUGCUCUGGAAACUAUAUGACUGGAGUGCAGGAGAGGUGAGCGGAAUUCCUAGUGUAGCGGUGAAAUGCGUAGAUAUUAGGAGGAACACCAGUGGCGAAGGCGGCUCACUGGACUGUAACUGACGUUGAGGCUCGAAAGCGUGGGGAGCAAACAGG
RNAcentral lists this ribosomal RNA (253 nucleotides) under uncultured Eubacteriales bacterium. RNAcentral's name for it is "uncultured Clostridiales bacterium partial 16S ribosomal RNA". It matches the Rfam family "Bacterial small subunit ribosomal RNA", at positions 524 to 776 of the family's 1533-position model. The record is from RNAcentral. Lineage: Bacteria; Bacillati; Bacillota; Clostridia; Eubacteriales.